CAAUAGCGUAUAUUAAAGUUGUUGCAGUUAAAAAGCUCGUAGUUGGAUUUCGGGGCAGCCUGGCUGGUCCGCCGCAAGGCGAGUACUGGUCAGCCGCCCUUCCUCUCGAAAGCCCUGACUGCUCUUUAUUGCAGUGGUCGGGUAGUUCGGGACGUUUACUUUGAAAAAAUUAGAGUGUUCAAGGCAGGCCUACGCCUGAAUACAUUAGCAUGGAAUAAUGGAAGAGGACCUCGGUCCUAUUUUGUUGGUUUCCAGGACCGAAGUAAUGAUUAAGAGGGACAGUUGGGGGCAUUCGUAUUUAAUUGUCAGAGGUGAAAUUCUCGGAUUUAUGAAAGACGAACAACUGCGAAAGCAUUUGCCAAGGAUGUUUUCAUUAA
RNAcentral lists this ribosomal RNA (377 nucleotides) under uncultured eukaryote. RNAcentral's name for it is "partial 18S ribosomal RNA". It matches the Rfam family "Eukaryotic small subunit ribosomal RNA", at positions 592 to 976 of the family's 1831-position model. The record is from RNAcentral.